This 513-nucleotide ribosomal RNA is filed under the name uncultured bacterium. Its description in RNAcentral is "partial 16S ribosomal RNA". It matches the Rfam family "Bacterial small subunit ribosomal RNA", at positions 28 to 523 of the family's 1533-position model. The record is from RNAcentral.
GACGAACGCUGGCGGCAUGCCUAAUACAUGCAAGUCGAGCGAACAGAUGAAGUGCUUGCACUUCUGACGUUAGCGGCGAACGGGUGAGUAACACGCGAGGAAUCUACCUAUAAGCGGGGGAUAACAUUCGGAAACGGGUGCUAAUACCGCAUAAUAUCUUCUUCCGCAUGGAAGAAGAUUGAAAGACGGCUCUGCUGUCACUUAUAGAUGACCUUGCGGUGCAUUAGUUAGUUGGUGGGGUAACGGCCUACCAGGACGAUGAUGCAUAGCCGACCUGAGAGGGUGAUCGGCCACAUUGGGACUGAGACACGGCCCAAACUCCUACGGGAGGCAGCAGUAGGGAAUCUUCCGCAAUGGGCGAAAGCCUGACGGAGCAAUGCCGCGUGAGUGAAGAAGGCCUUCGGGUCGUAAAACUCUGUUAUAAGAGAAGAACAAAUUGUAGAGUAACUGCUACAGUCUUGACGGUAUCUUAUCAGAAAGCCACGGCUAACUACGUGCCAGCAGCCGCAGUAA